Transfer RNA from Ovis aries (sheep), 73 nucleotides. It matches the Rfam family "tRNA". Rfam says of the family: Transfer RNA (tRNA) molecules are approximately 80 nucleotides in length. Their secondary structure includes four short double-helical elements and three loops (D, anti-codon, and T loops). Further hydrogen bonds mediate the characteristic L-shaped molecular structure. tRNAs have two regions of fundamental functional importance: the anti-codon, which is responsible for specific mRNA codon recognition, and the 3' end, to which the tRNAs corresponding amino acid is attached (by aminoacyl-tRNA synthetases). tRNAs cope with the degeneracy of the genetic code in two manners: having more than one tRNA (with a specific anti-codon) for a particular amino acid; and 'wobble' base-pairing, i.e. permitting non-standard base-pairing at the 3rd anti-codon position. Lineage: Eukaryota; Metazoa; Chordata; Mammalia; Artiodactyla; Bovidae. The record is from Rfam.
UCCCUGGUGGUCCAGUGGUUAAGGCUCCAUGCUCCCAAUGCAAGGGGCCCGGGUUCAAUCCCUGGUCAGGGAA